UCCUACGGGAGGCAGCAGUAAGGGAUAUUGCGCAAUGGACGAAAGUCUGACGCAGCAACGCCGCGUGCGGGAUGACGGCCUUCGGGUUGUAAACCGCUUUUCUGCGUGAAGAGGAAGGACGGUAGCGCAGGAAUAAGUCUCGGCUAACUACGUGCCAGCAGCCGCGGUAAAACGUAGGAGGCGAGCGUUAUCCGGAUUUACUGGGUGUAAAGCGCGUGCAGGCGGUAUCGUAAGUUAUGCGUGAAAGCGCUCAGGCUCAACCGGGCGAGGACGUGUAAAACUGCGGUACUAGAGGUAGGUAGAGGCGUGUGGAAUUCCGGGUGUAGUGGUGAAAUGCGUAGAGAUCCGGAGGAACACCAGUGGCGAAGGCGACACGCUGGACCUGACCUGACGCUAAGACGCGAAAGCAUGGGUAGCGAACGGGAUUAGAAACCCCGGUAGUCCAUGCCGUAAACGAUGCCUACUAGGUGUUGCGGCUUAACCGUUGCAGUGCCGAAGCCAACGUGAUAAGUAGGCCACCUGGGGAGUACGGUCGCAAGAUUAAAACUCAAAGGAA
Molecule: ribosomal RNA, 556 nt
Filed under: uncultured bacterium
Lineage: Bacteria
Description: bacterial SSU rRNA
Rfam family: Bacterial small subunit ribosomal RNA
Source: RNAcentral